This 253-nucleotide ribosomal RNA is filed under the name uncultured bacterium. RNAcentral's name for it is "partial 16S ribosomal RNA". It matches the Rfam family "Bacterial small subunit ribosomal RNA", at positions 524 to 776 of the family's 1533-position model. The record is from RNAcentral.
UACGUAUGGUGCAAGCGUUAUCCGGAUUUACUGGGUGUAAAGGGAGCGCAGGCGGCACGGCAAGCCUGAUGUGAAAGCCCGCGGCCCAACCGCGGGACUGCAUUGGGAACUACCGGGCUGGAGUGCCGGAGAGGUAGGCGGAAUUCCUAGUGUAGCGGUGAAAUGCGUAAAUAUUAGGAGGAACACCAGUGGCGAAGGCGGCCUACUGGACGGUGACUGACGCUGAGGCUCGAAAGCGUGGGGAGCAAACAGG